Callithrix jacchus (white-tufted-ear marmoset) is the source of this 2610-nucleotide non-coding RNA. The record is from RefSeq and is a predicted model, not a curated record. NCBI's taxonomy places the organism in Eukaryota, Metazoa, Chordata, Mammalia, Primates, Cebidae.
UCCUCUUCCUUUGCGUUCCGGUGGGCAUCAGGGGCAGGUGACUGUGUUCCGAACUCUCCAGCGGCCGGGCGGAGCCAGCUGCCUCCACGGGACCCCACCCACCCCGCGAUUCUAGUUCUAGAGGCGGAGUCUUCGCCAGAGUUCAGCCAGGGUUCGCUGGCCGAGGCGGGUCCCAGACCCCCGAACUGUUGCAAUACAGACCAGACGAUAGGAGUUGAAGCAACUAGACAACAGCAAGAUGAAAGGUCGCAGAGAUGAGGGUGACAAAAGCAUUCUGCACACCACUUCCUUCAGACAGUUACCGAGGAAAGAGGAGGAACCCACUUCCAUCUUGUUUAAAAGGGUUUUCCGGUCUCAUUGCUGCAAGUAGCCUAAGCUGUAGGCUAACUAAGAGCAAUCAUUUAUAAGAACGACAAAAAUAGCCGGGCGCGGUGGCUCAUGCCUGUAAUCCCAGCACUUUGGGAGGCUGAGGCGGGUGGACCACGAGGUCAAGAGAUCGAGACCAUCCUGGUCAACAAGGUGAAACCCCGUCUCUACUAAAAAUACAAAAAAUUAGCUGGGCAUGGUGGCGCGUGCCUCUAAUCCCAGCUACUCGGGAGGCUGAGGCGGGAGAAUUGCCUGAACCCAGGAGGCGGAGGUUGCGGUGAGCCGAGAUCACGCCAUGGCACUCCAGCCUGGGUAACAAGAGCGAAACUCCGUCUCAAAAAAAAAAAAAAAAUGAGAAAAAUAAAGGUGGAAAGUAGAAACUGUUUUCCUCCUCUAACUUUCCAUUAUGGUAUUUGUUUCCCAGUCAUUUUCUUCCCAUGCACCCAUGGAAAUGCACUUUUUAGAAACAAGGCACCUUUGGCAAGAAAUAGAAAAUCAACUGAAAUUGCUCCUGGUAUAGACCGGUGACUUUGUCCUGCCUAUCUCAACAUUCGAUACGAAUCGAACAAGCCUUACAAGAAAAUGAAGAAACAAAAUCACGCCAUAUUCCAGUUAUCCUUCGCUGCACGACAUUAGUAUCUUAAAGCAACAGGUUAUUAUCUGUCCUGGUUCUGUGGUGAAUGGAGCUCAGCUGGGGGCAGUCCCUACUUUGAUCUCUCAUGUGGUUGCCAUCAGAUAAGACUGAAUGUCCAGGAUGAUUUCUUCACCCACACAUCUGAUGCCUCAGCUGGAAUGGCUGGAAGAAACGGGCUGACUGGGCCUCUCUCCACACCUUCACCCCAUGACCUUAGUACCUGGCUAGGUUGGGCUUCCUUACAGCAUGGCAGCUCAGCAUAUUUGGACUUCUUACGGAGCAGCUGGCUCGCCUUAGAGUGAGCAUUCACAUCAGGCUAAAGCUGCACAGCAUCGAAAGUCACAGAGCAUCACUUUCAUCGCAUUGUAUUGGUGCAAAGUGACUAACAGGGCCAGUCCAGAUUCAGAGGGAAGGAGCUACACUUCCCUUUGGGUACCAGCAGCAGUGGCUCACUGGGGGACCACUUUCAGAGACUUACUACCAUAUCCUAGGAAAUUUAAUUCAUUCCAUUGAUUUCAUCAGUGUAUUCUUUUUUCAAACAUCUGUGUUUAAAUUUUUUUGUGGGUAUAUAGUAGGUGUAUGUAUUCAUGGAGUACAUGAGAUGUUUUGAAUAGGUAUGCAAUGCAUAUUAAUCACAUCGUGGAGAAUGGAGUACUCAAGCAUUUGUCCUUUGAAUUAUAAACAAUCCAAUUACAUUCUUUAAGGUAUUUUAAAAUAUGCAAUUAAGUUAUUGACUAUACACACUUCAUCGUGCUGUUAAAUAGUAGGCCUUAUUCAUUCUUUCUAUUUUUUGCACCCACUAACCACCCCCCUCCUCCCUCCAACUCUCCACUACCCUUCUCAGCCUCUGGUAACCAUCCUUUUACUCUCUAUGACCAUGAGUUCAAUUGUUUUGAUUUUUAGAUCCAAAAGACAGGUCAUAACAGACAUGGGUGAGGAGGUAGAGAAAGUGUGAACCUGAGAUGCUUGUUCUGAGCUUAUUUCAUUCAGCAUAAUGACCUCCAGUUCCAUCAUAUUGUUGCACAGGACUGGAACUCAUUCUUUUUUAUGGCUGAAUAAUACUCCAUUGUGUAUAUAUACCACAUUUUAUUUAUCCAUUCAUUUGUUGAUGGGCACUUAGGUUGUUUCCAAAUCUUAGCUAUUGUUAAACACAGGAGUGUAGCUGUCUCUCCUAUAUUCUGAUUUCCUGUCUUUUGGGUAUAUACCCAGCGGUGGGAUUGUUGGACGAUAUGGUAGCUCAAUUUUUACUUUUUUGAGGAACCUCCAAACUGUUCUCAGCAGUGGCUGUUCUAAUGUACAUUCCCUCCAACUGUGUACAAGGAUUCCCUUUUCUCCACAUCUUCACCCGCAUCUGUUACUACCUGUCUUCCAGAAAUAAGCCAUUUUAACUGGGUGAAAUGAUAUCACAUUGCGUUUUGAUUUCUGCGUAUCUAAUGAUCUAUGAUGUCGAGCACCUUUUCAUAGGUCUGUUUGCCAUUUGUUUGUUUUCUUUUGAGAAAUGCCUAUUCAAAUCUUUUGCUAAUUUUUUGAUCAGAUUAUUAGAUUUUUUUCCUGUAGAGUUGUUGGAGCUCCUUAUGUGUUCUGGUUAUUAAACCCUUGUCAGAUGGGUA